GGGCCUAUAGCUCAGCGGUAGAGCCCCCGGCUCAUAACCGGUUGGUCCCUGGUUCGAAUCCAGGUGGGCCCA
RNAcentral lists this transfer RNA (72 nucleotides) under Megamonas hypermegale. It matches the Rfam family "tRNA". From Rfam's summary of the family: Transfer RNA (tRNA) molecules are approximately 80 nucleotides in length. Their secondary structure includes four short double-helical elements and three loops (D, anti-codon, and T loops). Further hydrogen bonds mediate the characteristic L-shaped molecular structure. tRNAs have two regions of fundamental functional importance: the anti-codon, which is responsible for specific mRNA codon recognition, and the 3' end, to which the tRNAs corresponding amino acid is attached (by aminoacyl-tRNA synthetases). tRNAs cope with the degeneracy of the genetic code in two manners: having more than one tRNA (with a specific anti-codon) for a particular amino acid; and 'wobble' base-pairing, i.e. permitting non-standard base-pairing at the 3rd anti-codon position. The record is from Rfam by way of RNAcentral. Lineage: Bacteria; Bacillati; Bacillota; Negativicutes; Selenomonadales; Selenomonadaceae. RNAcentral also lists the same sequence under 1 other name.